Molecule: long non-coding RNA, 868 nt
Organism: Papaver somniferum (opium poppy)
Lineage: Eukaryota; Viridiplantae; Streptophyta; Magnoliopsida; Ranunculales; Papaveraceae
Exons: 3
Source: RefSeq, a predicted model, not a curated record
AUAAGAAAACCCAUCGUGAUUUUCGUAUGCUAAAAAGGUGUGAUUAAGGUAUUCUCUCAGAUACCUGUUUUUCCAAUUUCCUCAUCAAGGAUAGAACUCCACAAUCCCAUUACCAUUCCCACGAAUCCAUGAUACCUGUAUCACCAUUACUAAACCCACGAUAGGGUUUUUCAUACCUUUGUGAAUUUUCCAAUUUCUUCCCUAUAUAUACUGAUGCAAAGCUUAUUGUUUCCACAUAAAAUUGGCACAAGAGCGCUUUCAUAUCAAAUCUGCAACAGAUCAAUUGCAAGUUACUGAAUAUGGAGAGUGAUCAAUCAUCCAACCCCCAAACUGGAAGGACAACUUGGACUCCUCCCAUGGAUAGACUGUUCAUAGGUCUAAUGGAAGACCAAGUACAGAAAGAACAACUACUCGAUGGUCAAUUCAGCAAAUAUGCUUGAACACACUUUGUUCAUAAUUUCAAGCAGAGUUUUGGUUCUUCUUUUACCAAGGAUGUGUUGAAAAAUCGUAUGAAAACUUUGAAGAAGAACUAUGUUGUUGUGAGUACUCUUAGAGGUCAAAGUGGAUUUGGAUGGGAUCAGUCACGAGAAAUUGUGAUUUCUGAUGAUUGAAUGAAUAUUUUUCGUGGUUGUAGUAAUGAAGGUUCGAACUCAAAGACUUGUGAAGGUGAAGGAUUUUUAGAUUUAUAAAAAUUAUAUACAAAAAUAUUGACAAAUUGGUAGAGAGUACUGGGACUAAAGAUUCAGCCAUUUUUCAUUUUCAAGUGGUUUAGAAUUUAAUUCUAGGCGAUUAUAGUUUAAAACAAAAUGAAUAUUAACUCUAUUCUUUGCCAAAGUAGAUUUUAUAAAAUAUUACUUGUAUUUCUUAA